Long non-coding RNA from Paramisgurnus dabryanus, 1255 nucleotides. RefSeq lists it as uncharacterized. The record is from RefSeq and is a predicted model, not a curated record. Lineage: Eukaryota; Metazoa; Chordata; Actinopteri; Cypriniformes; Cobitidae.
AAGAGAUGCUGUUUUUAGGGCAGUUUAUUAAAGAAGACCUGACAUGGAUGACUUCCAAUGAGAAACGACUGCUAAUACUUAUAUAAAUUCAUUACAGAAGGACCCUACCAGACUAUAUUUGAAUACGGCAUACCCAUGAACCCAGUUUGGAGGAUAAGAGCUUACCAACUAGUUAUAAAUAUGCUGAGGUGAUGUAUUGCAAAAUAGCCAACAUACAACAAUAUGGAUGACCCUCUGUCUGGUCAACAGGAGUUUAAAUAUGGACGGGACAGUGAUGUGGCAGCUCUUCCCUGGCUCAUUCACCUCUUGCCUUCAUUUGUGAAAGGAAGAAAGACUGGAGAGGGUCAAUGUGCAACUGAAGCUACUGAUUGUGCUGUGUGAUGAGCAUCAAUCCAUGCUUUGAGGGGGAUGAAUCAGCACAGCCCUGCCUGCACUGCGUUGGGAACAGAAGUUGCAUCCAGAAUUUUUGCAUCAUUCUGGACCAAAAAGCCAUUCCCUCCAUGAUGAAGACCACUGAUGCAGCCUUCCACUACAUCAUGAGUAAAACAACUACAGAACUAAAUACCAGGUUGGAACGUAUUUAAGAAAAAUGAAACGUCUUUUGAAUUGAAAUGUCUGUUUUGUUAUGGAUAAAUCUUUAGUAUUGUGAAGGAUAAGCAUUUCUGCCUGCCAGUAAGGUAAUUGCAGUGUAUUUUAAUGUUCAAGUUUUGAGUAGGGUGGCUCAUUUUUUUUAAACUCUCAUUUGAUUUAUUAAAGACCUUAUAAUAAGUGGUUUUCAUGUCACUGCACUGUGGUAUAAGAUAACUUUCAUUAUUCCAUACUGUAUUCUGUUUCUAAUUGUAGCCGAGGUAUUUAAAUAAGCAGUGUUAAAUGCAAAGUGUUGUGUGUAUCAAUGUAAAUAUUAAAUGUGAUGUACUUUAAUAAAAAGAGGUUUUGCAAUAUUUCUUGUCAUUUGUCUUUUAUAGAAACAACCCAUUAGCAACAAAAGUGGCUAUUAAUCAGUAUUUUAACACUUAACAUUGUUGAAUUCACAUUACACCGGUGUUGACUUUAAAUUAGGAGUGUUAAUUUUUAACACUGUAUUUUUGUGCCAACACCAGUGUAGUGUGGAAACAACAAUGAAUAGUGUUGAACAAAGUGUCAAAUUUAACAAUAUUGAGUGUUAAAUUAACAUAUAAUGAGUGUUGUUAAAUUAACACUACACUUUUGACUAAAUUAACACAGUGUAGUGUGGACACAUAUACACACUUUUCCA